CCUAAGUCUCUCUCUAACUGACUUCAACUCAUCAUUUACAUCAUUACCAUUCUCUAUAUCUUCUUCCCCAACAUUAGAAGCUUCAUCAUCUGCUUUACUGCUACUUUCUUCAACAGUGUAAUCUUCAUCUACACUAUCAUCAUCCUCACUACUAUCACUGUCAAUAGUCGGAGCAACACUUAUAUUCUUUCCCUUUUCCAUAUUUGCCCUUUGCCUUAAGUGGACAAUACCCUUAUUUCUAUUAUUUUCCUCAUUCUCAAG
Molecule: long non-coding RNA, 261 nt
Filed under: Jatropha curcas
Lineage: Eukaryota; Viridiplantae; Streptophyta; Magnoliopsida; Malpighiales; Euphorbiaceae
Description: long non-coding RNA (JCUR_LNC001727)
Source: RNAcentral